GAGAGACCCACACCAUGUCUGUCUCAGCAGAGCUCACUGGUGUCUGCACCAUGGCCUGGAUUCCUCUCCUCUUCUUCCUCCUUCGUUGUACAGGGUCAUUCGCCCAACCUGUGCUGACUCAGUCGCCCACAACCUCGGCCUCCCUAGGAAACUCAGUUAAACUCACCUGCACCUUGAGUAGUGAGUACAGCACCUUCCCCAUCAGUUGGUACCAGCAACAACCAGAGAACGCUCCUAAGUUUGUGAUGUUGCUUGCAAAUAGUGGAGACCCUGACAUGGGGAAUGGGAUACCUAGUCGCUUCUCUGGCUUCAGCUCUGGGCCUCAUCGCUACUUAAGCAUCUCCAACAUUCAGCCUGAAGAUGAAGCUGACUAUUUCUGUGAUGUACAUUAUAGCAUUAGUGGAGAUUAUGGGUGAACACAGUGAGCUAGGUAA
Molecule: non-coding RNA, 434 nt
Organism: Myodes glareolus (Bank vole)
Lineage: Eukaryota; Metazoa; Chordata; Mammalia; Rodentia; Cricetidae
Source: the annotation of a RefSeq genome assembly